GACGAACGCUGGCGGCGUGCUUAACACAUGCAAGUCGAACGGAAAGGCCCUGCUUUUGUGGGGUGCUCGAGUGGCGAACGGGUGAGUAACACGUGAGUAACCUGCCCUUGACUUUGGGAUAACUUCAGGAAACUGGGGCUAAUACCGGAUAGGAGCUCCUGCUGCAUGGUGGGGGUUGGAAAGUUUCGGCGGUUGGGGAUGGACUCGCGGCUUAUCAGCUUGUUGGUGGGGUAGUGGCUUACCAAGGCUUUGACGGGUAGCCGGCCUGAGAGGGUGACCGGCCACGUUGGGACUGAGAUACGGCCCAGACUCCUACGGGCGGCAGCAGUGGGGAAUAUUGCACAAUGGGCGGAAGCCUGAUGCAGCAACGCCGCGUGCGGGAUGACGGCCUUCGGGUUGUAAACCGCAUUCGCCUGUGACGAAGCGUGAGUGACGGUAAUGGGUAAAGAAGCACCGGCGAACUACGUG
Molecule: ribosomal RNA, 468 nt
Filed under: uncultured bacterium
Lineage: Bacteria
Description: partial 16S ribosomal RNA
Rfam family: Bacterial small subunit ribosomal RNA
Source: RNAcentral